GGACUACUGGGGUUUCUAAUCCCGUUUGCUCCCCUGGCUUUCGCGCCUCAGCGUCAGAAAGGGUCCAGCACGUCGCUUUCGCCACCGGCGUUCCUUCCGAUAUCUACGCAUUUCACCGCUCCACCGGAAGUUCCACAUGCCCCUACCCCCCUCCAGGCCGCCAGUAUCAAAAGCCCUUCUCCAGUUGAGCUGAAGGAUUUCACCCCUGACUUGGCGGCCCGCCUACGCGCCCUUUAAGCCCAGUGAUUCCGAACAACGUUCGCACGGUUCGUCUUACCGCGGCGGCUGGCAC
Molecule: ribosomal RNA, 292 nt
Filed under: uncultured bacterium
Lineage: Bacteria
Also listed under: 2 other names
Description: partial 16S ribosomal RNA
Source: RNAcentral